AUACGGAGGGUGCAAGCGUUACUCGGAAUCACUGGGCGUAAAGCGCGCGCAGGCGGUCUUUUAAGUUGGAUGUGAAAGCCUACGGCUCAACCGUAGAACUGCAUCCAAAACUAUUAGACUAGAGUGUGAGAGAGGAAGAUGGAAUUAGUUGUGUAGGGGUAAAAUCCGUAGAGAUAACUAGGAAUACCAAAAGCGAAGGCAAUCUUCUGGAACACUACUGACGCUGAGGCGCGAAAGCGUGGGGAGCAAACAGGAUUAGAUACCCUUGUAGUCC
This 274-nucleotide ribosomal RNA is filed under the name uncultured bacterium. Its description in RNAcentral is "partial 16S ribosomal RNA". It matches the Rfam family "Bacterial small subunit ribosomal RNA", at positions 523 to 796 of the family's 1533-position model. The record is from RNAcentral.